GCUCCCCCUGCUGGACACAACGUAUGGUUCAGAAGAAGCCAAUAUUGACUCUUCCUGAUGGUCGCUAAUCUGUUGGGCCAGUAGCAGAGAAGCAACAUUACAGGGAAGGACCGUC
Erpetoichthys calabaricus (reedfish) is the source of this 115-nucleotide small nucleolar RNA. NCBI's taxonomy places the organism in Eukaryota, Metazoa, Chordata, Cladistia, Polypteriformes, Polypteridae. The record is from Ensembl.